CCUACGGGGGGCAGCAGUCGAGAAUCAUUCACAAUGGGGGAAACCCUGAUGGUGCGACGCCGCGUGGGGGAAUGAAGGUCUUCGGAUUGUAAACCCCUGUCAUGUGGGAGCAAAUUAAAAAGAUAGUACCACAAGAGGAAGAGACGGCUAACUCUGUGCCAGCAGCCGCGGUAAUACAGAGGUCUCAAGCGUUGGUCGGAAUCACUGGGCGUAAAGCGUGCGUAGGCUGUUUCGUAAGUCGUGUGUGAAAGGCGCGGGCUCAACCCGCGGACGGCACAUGAUACUGCGAGGCUAGAGUAAGGGAGGGGGAACCGGAAUUCUCGGUGGAGCAGUGAAAUGCGUAGAUAUCGAGAGGAACACUCGUGGCGAAGGCGGGUUCCUGGACAUUAACUGACGCUGAGGCACGAAGGCCAGGGGAGCGAAAGGGAUUAGAUACCCUGGUAGUC
RNAcentral lists this ribosomal RNA (446 nucleotides) under uncultured bacterium. Its description in RNAcentral is "partial 16S ribosomal RNA". It matches the Rfam family "Bacterial small subunit ribosomal RNA", at positions 338 to 795 of the family's 1533-position model. The record is from RNAcentral.